Lolium rigidum is the source of this 1225-nucleotide long non-coding RNA. RefSeq lists it as uncharacterized. NCBI's taxonomy places the organism in Eukaryota, Viridiplantae, Streptophyta, Magnoliopsida, Poales, Poaceae. The record is from RefSeq and is a predicted model, not a curated record. The transcript has 2 exons.
CCUCAUUGGUUUGCAGGGCCAAAAUUUUGGGAAGAUACAUUUAUUUUUGAAGUCAAAAUGGAAAUAGUUUGUGCAAGGAGCAGGCAUAAGCUUCUUUACUCAUUGCUUAAUCCGGAAAAAGUGCAUUCAGCUAUUUCAUGAGUGCCAUCUAGUAGAGAUGGCUUAUCAGUAUUGAAAAUGAACAUGCAAUCCCAUGCCUUCUCAACGCUAUCUGUUAUGUUUCAGGUUGUGCAUCCGCUGCUUAGUUCAACUUGCCUCCACCACACCUCCCAGGCCAUUCUCUCGUGCCCUCUCUUGGAUUCUCUCCCAGAUCCAUGCAAAUACAAAAUACUAGAAGCUGCCUUGAUUUAUUCAUUCCUUCACUUCAUAAACCAUAUCUUUCCUCCAACGUUUCUACCAUGUUGGCCUAUUGAAACUAGUAUCCCACUACAUAAUCUGAUACCUUGUUGUCUUGUAAAGGCUGGGCAAUGAAAUUUUGUAUUGUCUGAAUUGUACACUAACAGAUUAACUGUUGUAAAGUCAUGGUUCAAAUUUCUUGAUGCUGUUGGGUUCUGUUAUCUGAAUAUUAUGUGUUGAACAUGAUCCUACUUGGUUUGUCCUGCUUUUAAAUUGCGUGUUCUGAACCAUCUGAAACUAAUAAUGCUAGUUUGUACUAAGGUUUUGUGUUUGAUUUAGAAGCCAGGUAAUGAAAACUGUGUAUCCUCUAAAAAAGUAUUGUAUGUUCCGUGUUCUAAAGCCUGUGUGAUUGAUAGUACAGUUAAUUAAACAGUUGGUUUUCCUACCAUGAUUUGGCACUGACCUAAUACUUACUGUUUGUGUUUAUUUCAGAGAUGUCUGUUUUCCCUGGUUUCAGAAGAAAAAAACCGCACAAGUUCCAGUGCCUGACACUAAGAUGAAGAUCAGCUGCGCAUGUCUAGACACAAUAAGUUGAGACACAAGUGCAUCGUGAGCUGGUGGUGCGCAUGGAACAACACCGUUAGGUCCUCCUGGCAAUACAACGACUGUUGCAACAGGAGGCCUUGGAGCGAUGGGUUCAGCAGAUUUUGCAAGAAAUGCAUCUUUUUUUGUUGCUGAUUCUGUGUUAAAUCCGAUGAAGUUGUAAAGUAAUGAAUGCUCCUUGCACACAUGCUGUUGUUUAACAGUAAAAAAAAGUGUUUCUAUGUACAUCCUGCUGUUGUGUAUAUUUGAUGGAAUCAGGAAUUGCAUCAUAUAUUUGAUAGCAAUA